AUCGAUGCAACAAUAUUUUUUAUAUUAGUGAUUUUCAAAAAUGUAUAUAUACAACUGGGUUUGCUACUAGUUUGCUAAUCACUUCCUACUUUUAGGAAGCCUUUGUCACAAAUAUGACUUUCUAUGAACAAUGCAAUAAUCAAUGCAGCUUGCAUUAUAACACAAUAUGGAAGCAUGCAAAAAAAUCUGUCUGUCUGGCUUUGAGUUUGCGCGCAUGCUAUGCGUAGGCUGCAUCGCAAUCGUGUCAAGACAAAUCAGAUUGGCCAAUACACCCUGAAGACAAAUUCAAUAAUUUUAAAAUUACAAAAAUUAUCCCUCUCUGGCGAACAGAAUGUUGCAGCAGGCAAAAAAUUAUCUGCAUCGAGACAGAAUCGUUCUAGCGUUUCAACCUAUCCUGGGGGGUUUAAAUAUGCCACUUGUAUCACGGCUGCAAUCUAGCGUGUUCUUUGUCGUCUUACUCUGAACAUCCCUCGUUUACUAGUGAAAUGCAUCCCGCCGAGGACACACACACACACACACACACACACACACACACACACACACACACACACACACACACACACACACACACACACACACA
Molecule: long non-coding RNA, 580 nt
Organism: Gadus macrocephalus (Pacific cod)
Lineage: Eukaryota; Metazoa; Chordata; Actinopteri; Gadiformes; Gadidae
Exons: 2
Source: RefSeq, a predicted model, not a curated record